RNAcentral lists this ribosomal RNA (1530 nucleotides) under uncultured Agaricomycetes. RNAcentral describes it as "eukaryotic LSU rRNA". The stretch from base 592 to 1530 matches the Rfam family "Eukaryotic large subunit ribosomal RNA", at positions 1 to 925 of the family's 3401-position model. The record is from RNAcentral. Lineage: Eukaryota; Fungi; Basidiomycota; Agaricomycetes.
UCUUGGUCAUUUAGAGGAAGUAAAAGUCGUAACAAGGUUUCCGUAGGUGAACCUGCGGAAGGAUCAUUAUCGAGUUUGCCGUUGGGGACUGUGCUGGCCUUUGGGCAUGUGCACGUCCCCUUCAUUUCCACACACCUCGUGCACCUCUAGGUGGCCCUCCCGACGGAGGCUGCCUGCUUUUUUACAUGCGCUUUUUCUGUGUAAUAAUGGGAUGUCUUGUCUAAAUAGUAACAACUUUCAACAACGGAUCUCUUGGCUCUCGCAUCGAUGAAGAACGCAGCGAAAUGCGAUAAGUAAUGUGAAUUGCAGAAUUCAGUGAAUCAUCGAAUCUUUGAACGCACCUUGCGCUCCCCGGUAUUCCGAGGAGCAUGCCCGUUUGAGAGUCAUGAAAACACCUCAGCCCCUCAUCGCCUCUGGUGUUUGGGGUUGGACUUGGACGCCUGCUGCGACCUUUUCGGUCUGUGGCUCGUCUCAAACGCAUUAGUCGUCUCCGUUGGACCUCGCCUUUGACGUGAUACACAUCGCCGUCGAGGUUGGGACCCGACUUGAAGGAGCGGCUCACAACCGUCUUCGGACAGCUCUUGACACUUUUGACCUCAAAUCGGGUAGGACUACCCGCUGAACUUAAGCAUAUCAAUAAGCGGAGGAAAAGAAACUAACAAGGAUUCCCCUAGUAACGGCGAGUGAAGUGGGAAGAGCUCAAAUUUGAAAUCUGGCGGUCCACGGCCGUCCGAGUUGUAGUCUAGAGAAGCGUUUUCCGUGCCGGACCGUGUACAAGUCCCUUGGAAUGGGGCGUCAUAGAGGGUGAGAAUCCCGUCUCUGACACGGACUGCCGGUGCUCUGUGAUGCGCUCUCAAAGAGUCGAGUUGUUUGGGAAUGCAGCUCAAAAUGGGUGGUAAAUUCCAUCUAAAGCUAAAUAUUGGCGAGAGACCGAUAGCGAACAAGUACCGUGAGGGAAAGAUGAAAAGCACUUUGGAAAGAGAGUUAAACAGUACGUGAAAUUGUUGAAAGGGAAACGCUUGAAGUCAGUCGCGUCUGCCGGGACUCAGCCUUGCUUCUGCUUGGUGCACUUCCCGGUUGGACGGGCCAGCAUCGAUUUCGACCGGCAGAUAAGGUCUGGGGGAAUGUGGCACCCGUUUGGGUGUGUUAUAGCCCUCGGUGAUAUGCUGGUUGGGAUCGAGGAACUCAGCACGCCUUCAUGGCCGGGGUUCGCCCACGUAACGUGCUCAGGAUGCUGGCAUAAUGGCUUUAAACGACCCGUCUUGAAACACGGACCAAGGAGUCUAACAUGUCUGCGAGUGUUUGGGUGAUUAAACCCGAGCGCGCAAUGAAAGUGAAAUGUUGGGACCCCUCGCGGGGGCACCGACGCCCGAACCAGACCUUCUGUGACGGAUUUGAGGUAGAGCAUACAUGUUGGGACCCGAAAGAUGGUGAACUAUGCCUGCAUAGGGUGAAGCCAGAGGAAACUCUGGUGGAGGCUCGUAGCGAUUCUGACGUGCAAAUCGAUCNUCNAAUGUGGGUAUAGGGGCG